GAUGAACGCUGGCGGCGUGCCUAAUACAUGCAAGUCGAGCGAACAGAUGAGGAGCUUGCUCCUCUGACGUUAGCGGCGGACGGGUGAGUAACACGUGGAUAACCUACCUAUAAGACUGGGAUAACUUCGGGAAACCGGAGCUAAUACCGGAUAAUAUAUUGAACCGCAUGGUUCAAUAGUGAAAGACGGUUUUGCUGUCACUUAUAGAUGGAUCCGCGCCGCAUUAGCUAGUUGGUAAGGUAACGGCCUACCAAGGCAACGAUGCGUAGCCGACCUGAGAGGGUGAUCGGCCACACUGGAACUGAGACACGGUCCAGACUCCUACGGGAGGCAGCAGUAGGGAAUCUUCCGCAAUGGGCGAAAGCCUGACGGAGCAACGCCGCGUGAGUGAUGAAGGUCUUCGGAUCUGAAAACUCUGUUAUUAGGGAAGAACAAAUGUGUAAGUAACUAUGCACGUCUUGACGGUACCUAAUCAGAAAGCCACGGCUAACUACGUG
Molecule: ribosomal RNA, 497 nt
Filed under: uncultured bacterium
Lineage: Bacteria
Description: partial 16S ribosomal RNA
Rfam family: Bacterial small subunit ribosomal RNA
Source: RNAcentral